CGCGUUGCAGCCUCUUUCGCUACGGUCGGCGUGCCUUGACUUGGUGUAUGUAGUUUUCGUGUCGAUGUGACUGUUGGGCCCUCAUUUGUGAGCGGCCACGAUGCGGGCGGCGCGAGGCCACCGGCCGUCUGCAGCACAGGAGCCUGGUGAGGGCUAGCACCCAGGCCACAGCCAUGUAAAGCCCACCCCGUGUUGAGCGGAGACACCCGAGGAUCUCCACUGUCACGGAUGGUAACACCUGAACUCAUUGCUGUUUGGUGAUGGAAGACGUUCAGGUAUUGUUAAAGCAAAGUAGUAGUGGCUGAGAUCUUCCGGGCACCAUAAAGGGGAUCUUCGCAUGUUAAU
Long non-coding RNA from Arvicola amphibius (Eurasian water vole), 345 nucleotides. RefSeq lists it as uncharacterized. The transcript is spliced from 3 exons. The record is from RefSeq and is a predicted model, not a curated record. NCBI's taxonomy places the organism in Eukaryota, Metazoa, Chordata, Mammalia, Rodentia, Cricetidae.